This 2532-nucleotide long non-coding RNA is filed under the name Nicotiana benthamiana. RNAcentral describes it as "long non-coding RNA (NBEN_LNC033276)". The record is from RNAcentral. Lineage: Eukaryota; Viridiplantae; Streptophyta; Magnoliopsida; Solanales; Solanaceae.
UGGCUAUAAGAAAGAAUGUUAGUAGAACAUGAGAUAUCGCUCAGUCGUUUACCAUGAAGUAAAUAACAUAUUAGCAGAACAUUAUUUCCUUCAAGUCCAAGCUAGUCAAAGUGGUUCUCUCGCUCAAUUGCAACUCUUGGUCAGUGAAUCUGUAAUUAAAGUUGAGAGCUCCAUUAGGCAAUAAAAUAAUAAAGUGAAGCUUGUAAGAGAAGUUUCAGAUAGAGAGAAAAACAUGUCUAACGAGAAACCACCAACAAAGAUUUAUUCCACCAAUGAUUGUGAUCUCACAGAUCAAUUUUAGGAGAAACAAGGAUCAACUAAAGUUAAAAUGAUACAGAAGAGGAAAACUGGACGAAUUUUAUGGUUUCAUCGGUUACUUAAUUCUGAAACUAAACAAAGAGAUAGAUGCUCAAUAUCAUGGUAUCAGAGCUUAAGCUAUUGCAUUAUCUUUGUAAGCAAUUACCACAAAAAUAUUACUAGUUCAAUAACAGUAAGUCAUGCCAAUGCCAACAAGAGCUGAAGACAGAAUUAUUGGAAGCUUGAACGGUAUAUUGGAGACAAUUCAAUCAUUGAACAAUACAAUGAAAGAAAAGAAAUUGGAGGAUAGACUUUACAAGCGAAUUUCCGACUUAACUUUUCAGGAUAAUGAAUGAAAAAUCAAAAAAAAAAAGAAAAGAACCCUACGAACACUUUGUAUACAGGUAAAAACUGGGGCUGAUGCACACCCCGAUUUCCCGGUGGGUCAAAUGAAGCAACGACGUGACAACAUGAGAUCGGAAUGGAAGCUGGAAACUUCUCGUACUAAGCCCCGAAUGGAGUGUUCGCCAUCGGGUCAGAUAAGACAACACUCCCGAACCCGGAACGAGCUCCAAAACCUCGGAAAAGCAUGGCAAUGGUUGCACAUGACUAACAAAGGGACGUGAUAUCGGCACGCCACCGGUUAUCAAGGCCCAGAUCUCGCCUGACGUCGGCAGCGGAUCAGUAAUUCAAGAGAAAGGAGGAUUUUUACCUUUUUUAAAAUUGUACUAGGAUGUAACUCUCCUACUAUAUAUAGGGUAAGUUUUUUUCUUUAAUAAGACAUGGUAACACACAUAUCAAGGCAAUACAUACUUCCUCCGUUCCAGUUUAUGUGAACCUAUUUCUUUUUUGGUCUGUUCCAAAAAGUAUGAACCCUUUCAAAAUUUGGAAGCAAUUUAGCUUGAACUUACAAUUCUACCCUUAAUGAGAAGCUUUUAUAACCAUACAAAUACUUUAGACCCCUUUUUGACUUGUUUAGGACCACAAAUUUCAAAAAUCUUCAUGUUUUCUUAAAUUCUGUGCGCAGUCAAACAGAUUCACAUAAAUUAGAACGGAGGAAGUACUUAUUUCUCUACUUCCUAGCUAUUGAAAGGUUCUUAUUUUAAUUGUUGUUCUUCAUAUAUAAUUAUUUGGCUUCGAAUUAAGGGUCCGGUCGAUGACAAAACUAUUGUUCAGCUUAAAUCUGAGUCCAGCCUUAACGUCACAACUGGUUUGGUUAUUCAUUUUAUCUUUAACUUGUAUAUCUACUAUUAUUGAUUAUUUGUGUUGAAUCUAUCCACAUAUUCUUAAAACCGCAUAUAAUUCAAUUGUUAUAUGUUUUAAGGAUUAACACACUUCCUUACUGCAGAGAGUAAAACAGAACACCAACAAAUAUAUGCAAAACAUUCAAGUCAGCCUUAAUCACCACCUUUGGAUAAUUACAAUUAAACCAUCACAUUCAGUAAACAAAAACAACCAAAAAAGAGAAAGGCAAAAGUAAACACUGCAUAUGUAAGUAGCUUUAAUCCAACCACAAACAUUAUAACCUAUAAUGAAUUGAACUAUAUAUUCUAUUAGGAUAUAUUGUGUUGUGUAUCUUUUUAUUAUUGGUAGAUAUUCUCUCAUUAUUGUACCGUACUAUAGUUGGUAGGAUUUGAUAUUUUUACAGUCCUACAAUAAUGAGUAGGAUUUGAUAUUGUACAGUCCUACAAUAAUGAGAGAAUAUCUACCAAUACUAAAAAGAUACACAACACAAUAUAUCCUAAUAUAUUCUACUACUUACUAUUUAUAAGCCCAUAACCAAAAUUACAUGAAAAGAGCAAUAAUUUAACUUGAGGAGCUGACUUGGUGUGAUUUUGUAAGUCAAGGAACAGUCCAUUCAAUUUUUUUAAACUCACAUGAUUAAGGGUAAAAAACGAUAGAAUAAUUAAGCACAGAGAGAAAAAAGCAACGAACUAGUUCACUUCUUCUUAAUUAAUUAACUUCUUGAUUUUCUGUUUUUGGGUCUUUACAUAAUUUUUGUUCGAUAAACGACACCAACGCACGUCCAUACUAAGAUUUGAGUACGAAUAUUUAGAAGUUACAAAAUCAAACCAGCAUAAAUUUCAAGAAUUAUGCAUGCAAAAACACGUUUAAUUAACAAAGUAGUACCUGUCUCUGUUUCGUUUUACUUUUUUCUGGGUAUUUUUGUUGCCCACUUGGUUGGCGGGGGAAGGGAGGAGGAGACAGACGACAGGACUAAAACUUUGGUCUCUG